Molecule: long non-coding RNA, 8256 nt
Organism: Pan troglodytes (chimpanzee)
Lineage: Eukaryota; Metazoa; Chordata; Mammalia; Primates; Hominidae
Exons: 3
Source: RefSeq, a predicted model, not a curated record
CAUCCCAUUUAUUUGAAAUUCCAGAAAAGGCAAAAUUAAUCUGUGGUGAAAAAAUCAUAACAGCAGUUCCUUCUAACAGGAUAUUGACUGGGAAGGCACACAAGAGAAAUUUCUGGGUGCUAAAAAUGGUCUGUCUUAAUAGGGGUAGGAAUUACAAAAAAUUCAGUUAACAUUUCAAUGAAUGUAAAUUUUAUCUUAAAAACUAUAAAAAUAAUUUAAAAUUUAAAAUCUAGUAGCUAACACCUAGUUGAGCGCUCAGUGUCUAUGGGUAUUGGCCAAAGCUAUACAUACACAAUUUUGUUUAGUCCUCAUACUGUCCUCACGAGGUAGGUAUUAUUAUCAUAACCCCCUCGCAUAUGAAGAAGCCCAAAUUUAGUAAAUACUAAAUAACUUUCCUUAAUUUAUACCCCCUGGAAAAUGGGGGAAGAGCUUUGAAUACCAUCAGUCAAAUGCCAUAAGUUAUUAAAUAUUAGACCCUAUAGCACUUCUCUGAAAUUGUAAUAUUUUUGGUAUAUAUAUAUAUAACUCAUCUACUAGAUCAAGAGCUUCACAAUGAUUGAAAUCAUAGUUUGCUUUUUGUUUGAGGUUUAUGGGUUUAUUUUAUGUCAUUAUUUUAAAGACUGGGUCUUGGCUGGGCACGGUGGCUCACGCCUGUAAUCCCAGCACUUUGGGAGGCCAAGGUGGGUGGAUCACUUGAGGUUAGGAGUUCGAGACCAGCCUGGCCAACAUGGUGAAACACCAUCUCUACUAAAAAUGCAAAAUUAACUGAGUGUGGUGGCGCAUGCCUGUAAUCCCAGUUACUCGGGAGGCUGAGGCAGGAGAAUCACUUGAACCCGGGAGGUGGAGGUUGCAGUGAGGCAAGCUUGUGCCACUGAACUCCAGCCUGGGCCACAGAGUAAGACUCCAUUUCAGAAAAAAAAAAAAAAAAAAAAAAGAAUGAGUCUCACUAUGUUGCCCAGGCUGCACUUGGACUGUUGAAUUCAAGCCAUCCUCCUGCCUAGGCGUCUUGAGUAGCUGGGACUACAGGCACACACUAUCACGCCCAAUAUUUUUGUCUUAAGUUUCUAAGGAGUCCCAACACUGCACAGUAGCUGUUCAAUAUAUUUUGAGUGAAUGAUUAAAAACAAGCUUGGUGUUGAUUUUAUUGGUACAAUUUAUAUUUACAUAUGUAAUGUUUAUAUUAUAUGCUUUUUAUAUAUUUAUAUGUGUGUAUGUAUAUAAUUGGCACCAACGUAGCAUUGCUGUGCUUAAGUGCCUGAGAUGUAUCUCAAAUGAAUAGACCUGAGGAGAGAAGCUUGUGUCAUUAGCUCUGACCCUGCAGCACUAAUCUUGGUUUACCCCUUUAUUUCACUCACCCUGAGCACAUCAAUUUAUUUGGUGAAAGAGCUUACACUUCAACAUCUCACUGAAAUAGCUCAUUCCAAAGAAAGAGCUAAUUCUAACCUCUCACAAGUGCUUGAGCAUUUGCAUAAGUGAAAUUUCACUGUGUGAGUUUCACCCAACACCACCUCUGCUCCAGCUCCUGCUACUCUACUGCUCAUACCGUGGAACUCCACAGGUGGAGUAGAAGAUCAUCAGAGAGAGUUUUAUUUGCAGUAAAUUCGGUGUGCAACGGGCAAAGCAACGAGGAGUCAAGGUGAGGCAGAAGAACAGCAGAGGGAAGUGGAAGUUGGAUAAAGGGUGAACUGAGUAGGAGCGGAAGCAGGAUAAAGAGGUGGGUGAGCAAGAAGCAAGAUAAGCAGAAGUUGAGCAGCGAAAACAAAAGUGAGAUGGAGUAGUGAGUAAAAGUUUAUGGCUGGCAGGAUCCAGAGCAAACCAGUAAAAGGCAUGCAUAUGAGAGAGAAAAAGUAGCCUUUAAAUGACCCCGUAUGAUAAUCAGCUCAUUAAAGCUAAUGCAUGUGGACUGCAUAUCAUGGGUGUACUUAAAAUUAUGGGAUGGAGGUGAUGCGGAAGCACACAGGGGCCAAGUAACUAAGCAACCCACCUAUCAAUCAGAAGGCACAUGCUGGGUAGAGAUUAGGCAGCCCCAGGAAGAGGAGAAAAAAGAAAAAAAAAAAACAUGUAAAAAGACCCAAAGCCCAAAGUUCACCAAACUGACGCUGAUCUCAUUUUGCAGAAGUCAGCCCGUUCUCCCCUCUCUGAGAGUGUUACUGUGCUUAAUAAGUCUCUUGCUGCUUUGCUACAUGUGUGUGUGUCACUUCCAAUUCUUUGUUAAAGACACCAAGAACCUGGGACUUCACAACACCAGCCGGUAACAAAGGUAUGUAAGCUUGGGAGGGAGGAAAGAAAGAAGGGAGCAAGAGGAGAUUCAGACAUGAGAUGCAUUCACCCUAUGAGUUGAACCCUGGUCUCCAGCGUGGGAGUUGACAAUUCUAUUACUGAACCAUCAAUGCUCCGUGUGGUAUAACCUCUCAUAGUUUUUUUUUUUUUUUUCUUAAAGAUAAUCUCUAGUGCUAUGGGCAGGCAUGAGCAGGCAGGGAGGAUGGAGGUGGGAAAGUUCUAUAAUAGGCUUACACAGAUAUUUUUGGGAAACAGAGCUAACAAAGCAACAGCCACUUGAAGCAAAGGCUUGCCGUAAACCUUCCACAGUUUGCCAGGAGAAGAAAUUCUGUAGUGAAAUUUUCACUUUCUCUCUUGUGUAGAUCUCUGUAAGACACAAAAGUUGGAUGACAGUCGUUUUGAUUCUUGGACUUUACUAGAGACUCCAAAGACGCAUCUGAGGAGAAAAGCUCUGGGUCCCUGGGAUGACUGUGCCACUCGACAUAGCCUCCUGGAGUGGCCAAAGAGAGUGUGGAUAAGAAAAGAAAUAUUGGAGUGAACUUUCACUCACUCCCACUUCUGUAGGUUUCUUAAAAUAUAUGGGUUUAGAAGCAAGAUACUUGGCGUUUUCAAAUGACUCAAAAGAGAUGUAGAUGAAGAGAAGUUCGGUCAUCCCACAGAUCUUCCGGAGUAACCUGGACACAUCCCUAAAUCUCUAGCUCCUGGGUCUUCGAAAGCCUGUUUGCCUCAGGGUUGGGAGGAAAGGGUUUGGAAAGUACCAAGGCAAGGGUUGGCAAAAAGAUUACCUCAUCAGUGAGGAAAUGAAAUUUCCAGAAGUUUUCGCCAGAUCUGGGACCAGAGAAAAAUGCUGGAUGAAUUUCCUAUGCAAACCUUUUUUAGAACCACCGCUUCAAAGGCCGUCCAGAGACUUCAAAUUAGAUCUGGUGAAACUGCUCCCGGUAGGGGAUUGGUAGUUCAGCGGUAGAGGUUUUUGUCUCCCACGCCGGCGACUCUGGUACGACUCCCGGCCAUGCAGGACUUCUUACCCUUCCGGGAGGAAGGGCUACUACGUUUCUACCCAACGAAGUUAUUAUAUUAUACAGGCUGUACUGCAUUUAUGGACCUUGGUCGUGGCAGCUAGAAGCUAACCUGAGGGGCGUGCCACCUCUGGAGCAUUCUCUGUGCUCGAACUAAUAAUCCCGGAAUUUACGUUCCUGUGCUCGAAGCCUGUCCUUGAAAGUGGGGAGUGCUUCCGGUGGGUUGCUGCAGUUUUAAAUACUGGGAAUUAAAACCUUUGCUACUUUCAUCUAGUCUCCCGGCAAACCCCUGGGUAACCCAAAGCCCAUCAGAGGGAUUCGCGUGCUGGGCUUUCCGCUACGUUAGGUCACGUCUCACUAUGGAGCGAGGAUCAAGAAGGUCCGGGAAGGAGAGAAGCUGCGGGGUCCAGGGAGGCUCUUCGGUGGUUGGUCGGAGAGGUUUCAGCCGCCCAAGGAAAAGGGAAGAGUGUGGGAAUCUAUCCGCGUAGAGAUGAGGGGCGCGGCGGAGACAGUCUCACGCAGAGGCAGCCCCCUUCUGUUUUUCAGUGAAGCCGCUGCAGGAAAGUCGGGUUUGUGAGAAGACCCACACAGGCAAGGACAGCAGGAGAACACUGACAUAGUUACACUCUUGUCACCAGCACUGUCAUUAAGAAGUUGUGAAAAGACAAAGACAACAGAGGAGAGCGGAGAAUAAAAUCUCCGUUUCAGCUAUUCCAGGAUGUUGUGCCAAUUGUCCCGUGUCCUUGAUAGGAAGUAGUAAGGAGCUAGGGACAUUUUUCCUGAAGGCUUCCAUUGCUGGCAAAAUCUCAUUAAAGGUGUCUACAUUGAUAGGUUGGCCACAGGAUGGAUACAAGAACAGGCUCUGGCUUACCUCUGCCAAGAUAUAUGUGUAAGAAUACUCUCUGCAACAUUAAUUUUUAUUGUAAAAUAGCAGAAUAAUUUUAUUAUUCAAUCAUUAUAUAAUGUUCAAAUGUAUGUGACUUUAUUUGGACAAUGAAAAAUGUAGUUGUUAAAAAUAGACAAUACAGAUGAUUCAGAUGAUGUUACUGAUGAAAAUAACAGAUGACAAUUACUGAGCAUUUAUGGCACUCUUACAUACAUUAACUUAUUUAAAGUUCAGAACAACCAAGGAAAUGAGCAACCUGUGGUGGGCGUGAGAGGUUCUGUGGCACAAAAGGAAGAUAGGCAUUCAAAGAACACCAGGAUAGAAGAGCCGCAGUAGGCCGGGCGCGGAGGCUCACGCCUGUAAUCCCAGCACUUUGGGAGGCCGAGGCGGGCGGAUCAAGAGGCCAGGAUAUCGAGACCAUCCUGGCUAACAGGGUGAAACCCCGUCUCAACUAAAAAUACAAAAAAUUAGCUGGGCUUGGUGGCACGCGCCUGUAGUCCCAGCUAUUCGGGAGGCUGAGGCAGGAGAAUCGCUUCAACACGGGAGGCGGAGGUUGCAGUAAGCCGAGAUCGCGCCACUGCACUCCAGCCUGGGCGACAGAGCGAGAUUCGGUCCCCAAAGAGAAGAAGACCCGCAGUAGGAGGAAGAGGGAGGAAGUGGAGUCGGCCAGCUGGGAUGCUGGAAGCCAUUGGAUAGCUCAGGCUGAGAGAGGGCGCUGUGCGCCGCAAGCCUCCCUGCAACCGCAGACCUCGGGCCGCCUUCCUCCAGGAAGACGCUCCAGACUUCUGGUAUCCGUUGAGAUCUAGUUUCCCUUGAGACGCUGCAAAGUGCAUCGUCCUUGAGCAUUUCUCCUCUCCCCAAGACCCUCCGAAGGAAGGAUGAGCGGACGGAAGAUUCACACCGAAGUGGUCGAGCGCCCAGAUCCCCGGCUUCCCUGGGAGCAUUUCCCAAGUUUCUUUCAUGGGUAAGAGUGGGCCCAGCAGGAUAAUGCCUCCGGUUCUAUGAGGAGCAGUGGGGGAGAUGCCCACGUGGCCACCUCUGUGGGCUACACGACCCAGGCCUUCCAGGAGGAGCGAGGAGUCCUGGGCCCGGGUCCAGCGGUGCCAAGAGAAGCAGCAAGGCAAGGGGUCCCCUCCUACCUCAGGGUCUCUGUCCUACUGGGGUUAGGAGACGUUCAUCCAACUCCCUCUCCAAGUGUUGGAGAGGAGGCUAGGUCUUUCCCACGAGCUGGGGAGGAAGAGGUGGCAGAGGCGGAAGAGGAAGCCAGCUGAGAUGUGCGAAGCAGCUCUGGCUAUAACCGGUAGGGAGAGGGCGCGCAGGACCCAGGAGCCUCCGUGCGGAGCCAGGCCUCAGGAGCAGCCGCCUUGCUCCUGGAAGGGGUGCCUCCCUCCAUCUUCUGUCCAAAGACUGUAGGGAGACCUUCUCGCCUGGUGGGAAAGCGACGUCUCCCAUGCUUUCCCACCACGCAGGCCUUGUGUCCCUUUUCCUGCUAGUGUCUGACCGCCAGCCUGCGGGGGCUGCGGCUGCCGCGGUUCUAAGCUGGGUGGAGGCUGCCCGCCCGCUAGCCAAGAGCCGCGCUAGGAGGCAAGAGUCGGGAAGUCGUGUGCAGGCCGGGAGGAGUCCCAAGCUCUGGGUCAGGGCUUUUUUUGCCAAUAGCCAAAUUCAACGUGUAAAAGACAGCUCACAUCUGUCUGUUCCUGAGCUUCAGUCGGAACAACAAGGAAGGCCCUCAAGAUCCCUAGGAGGGUGGCGGAAGGGUCUCUAGCGGCGAUAUCCGCGUCGGGGGCGGUGAGCCAAGGACUGUCAGGAGCCUGCGCGAACCCAGCCCCCGGGUAGCGCAAACACCACCGCAGACAAGGGCCCCGCGUGUAGGGAAAUCGCAGGGGUCAGAGCAGCUGGAGUGUGGUGGACUAGCCUCAACCAGGGAGAGCUCCCUUCUUGACCACGGUCUGUCCCUCGCCAGGUAAGAGGAGACGAGUGUCAGUACAGCCUCCUCUCCCCUAGCCAGAUGCUCAGGGUCACCACCUUCCCCUCUGCUCGCCCGUCGCCAUUCUUCCAACCACUCGCUGCCAAAGAUUCCACCAACAGUCACCCACAGGACAACCCAGGCCUCCUUUCAGCAGGGGCUCCCGCCCCGCAGCCACCGCGCCCUCUCACCCCCGCAGUUCUGCCCGCCGCCUCUGCCCAGUCUGUGCACUUCACCUCCCUCGCUCCCGCUCUCCCCUGAGCUUUACAGUGGACACAGGGUUCGUCCCCACCCUUCUUGGGAGUACUGAAUGGAAAAGGGGGAGGGUGCACAAUUGCUUGGUAGAGUGUAGACAGACAUUGCGGGAUUUGACUGUGGUACUAUCCCUUUGAUGUCCUAGUGAUUUUUACACCUGCCUUCUGCUUAGGGCACCGGCCACAGUUUUCCAUUAGUGCCUACUCCACCUGCUGUCGUUGUUGGGUAAGCGAACAUCGCCCUCCUGUACCACCCAGUCAAUAAAUGGGCGGUCCUGGAGGACCUCACCCGCCGCUCACCCCCCUCCCAACCUCGCGGCCAUCGCCUCCUGUCGCCUCUUCCGAAGGCCUAAGAAGCAUGUUAGCUGCGAACUGAGGUGAGGAGGCUCAGCUGACCGCCUGUGUCAGCUGACGACGUGUGCCGCGCACAAACGCCACGACUUGGCUUGGCCUCUCUCUCUCUUAGUUAUUUGCAGCUCAGCCCAAUCGGCGCCUCUGGGAUGGCGGAGGCGGCAAAGAUGGUGGGCUUCUUGGGUACACCUCCAGGAGAGCUGGCAUCUCUGCACGGUGGUGUACACCUGAGCGAGACGCUCAGUCGCUCUCUAAAGCCCCUUCUGCGAAUGGUGGACACGGAGAUAAAUAAGAGGGUGUGUCAUGAGAGGCCGUCCACCAGGACUUGCCCUCCUUCGCCAGGGUUUGCACCUUGCAGGGAGACUCUUCUGCCUCUGGCUCUUGGAGCAGGCCGGCUGACAGCGGAGUAAAGAAAGAUUACUGCGGGUGGGCAGUCAGUGCAAAACAACUCCCUGACCGGUAAUCGAACCCGGGAUGCGGUGGUGAAAGGACUGAAUCACAGCCACUACACCAGCACGGGGGCACGGGAGAGUCUUUCUCAACCUUAUUGCCAUUUAAGUGACUGUUUCUGAGUGCGCUGGGAGGACUUGGGCCUUGUGGGAGUCGCUGGUCACUCCUGGAGUCGUCUCACAAGGCCUUUCCCUCCCUCCUUUCUCCAAAAGAGGAGCCCGCAGGCGACACACCCAGCACUCUGCGAGGCCCACCAAGGCCCCGAUUCCCGAGUCCUGGAGCGAGUUGCAGCGCCCUGGCUGCAGCUGACCACUGACCUAGAGAUGUGCCUUUGCGAAGUGGCAGCGCAUGGAGAAACAGUAGCGGGUCGCUGGGGCCAGAGCCGCUCACCGGGUAGCCAGGAGCAGGCCGGAGCGAGGAGGCUCCCGGGGUGACACCGGGGCACCCUGAACAUCAUAAAGGACUCAGACCUUGGCAUUCCCGACGUCAUAUAGGACUCACACGGAUGCGGAAACCGAGACGGGCUGGAUGGAAAACUCUUUCCAGACAGGCUCCGGGGCCCUCAACUGGUCUCCGACCUUCCCCUGCAACCUGCAACACCUGCCAUUUUCCCAUCUUAGGCUCCAGAAGCAGAAUCAAGUGGGAUGUCUUGGAAGAAAAACAAACAAAAGGCCCACUAGGUGGAGUGAAAUGGAUCAGGAGCAAUUAUGUUCAAUGGCACCUUUAAGUUUUCUCAAAAGGAGGAGGAUUAAGAAUCAGCCACCUUAGUACAUACUUAAAGAUUUACUGAAACCUGAUCCUGUCCCUGCUGAUGAAACGUCAGAGGAAUGGGAUCCUGUAGGUGAAGAUCAUCAGCUUAUAAAAUCCUGUUGCCAUCAAUGGGGGUAGCAGGAAAAUGAUGAAGAUUGGUUAAGGGGCCAGUGGACUCAGCAUUGAAAUGAAUCAUGGACUUGAAGCCAAAAGACUCAGUUUGUGUCCCAGCUCUCUCAAGCAAAGCCCCCAAGUCCCAGUUUCCUCAUCUAUAAAAAAUAAUAAAAAUACUUCAUGGACAAA